GUCCUCCUACAACAUUGGUCAUUUCACUUGUAUAAAUAUGAAUAUCAUACAACCAUUUUGACAUUCAUUAGUUAUAUUUUUGCAUUAACCUUUUUUAAAUUUUGAUAGUUUUCAAAUGAUUAUGCUUGCCAAGCUGUCUCUAAUUACACAUGCAGUAAUUGUAACUGUUAUUUUUAUCAUCUAGCUCUUUGUUUGUAAAUAUGUGAUUGCACGAACUGACAAUUGAACUUUUUAUGAUUUUAUGGAAGUUGCAAUGUUAGCAGUUGUAGCACUGGGUAAUUCUUCAAUGGAUUUGCUAUGAUGUUUUGUCCUUAUUUUGGUGAUACAUCAGAAAAGUUUCACAUUCCUCUCUCUCUCUCUCCCUUUCUCUCUCCAUCAAUUUUUCUUCAACCAGCCAAGUCCCAUGCAAGGAUUUUUCAAGUGCCAGACAAAACAUCAAAUCUCAUUUCUGUCAACUGUUGUUUAUCAUUUGGUUGGUCCCAAGGUUUUGCACCUGAAAUGUUGAUGACAUACCUCUUUGGUUCUUUACAUUCAAAAUUUGCUCUUCUUGCUGUCCAUACUUGUGUAAGUUGGUUCCUUAUCUCCAGAGCCCAUGUUACAUCACAAUAAUUUUAAGGAUUUUCUGUAGUUGAAUUUUGAUCAACAUUUUGGAUUUUAUGGAGGUUUUUAUUACUGUUUUAACAAAGACAUCUUCACUUGGUUUUGAGAUUUGAUUUCAAGGUGAGUAAUGGUUUACUAGGGAAUAAUGGGAUAUGUGUUGGAAUUCUGGUGAGGACUUACACACACACACGGUAUUAAAAAAUAUACUAUUUUAAGUGGUGUAAUGUUUGAAGUUUGCAAAUGGUGUAGGGAUCACUGAGAAAACACCUGCUUUUGAAAAUCCAUUGAAGUAUUAGGGAGAUUUUGAAAUGCCUCUUGCAUGGAAAUUCCUUAUAACAGUCGGUGAAUUUUUCUGAGAUUUUAAAGGAUAAACCUAGUAGAAUCAUUUGUACUUCUCUUCUCAGGCAGCUAAACUACUAAACUAACAAUUAAAGGAUAACUAAAAUAUUUGGUGUUUCAAUAGGCGUGUAGGACUUUUUGUUGGAUCAUGCCAGACAUAUAUUUGUUUGAGAAAUUGCUAUUGUCAGAUCCCAAUAUUGAACUGCAUGUAUGCUUCUGGGGUUUCAUUUUUUUUCAUUUGUGGUGAAACAGGGCAAGUUCACUAAGAUUAUUCCAAUAUAUUCGUUGGAUAUUUUUUUUUAUUGAGUUCCAAUGCUUGAUUGCAUGCAUAUGGACUGCUGUUAUAUUGGUGGUCUCCUUGAAUUUAACUGAAUCUGCUUAGAUGAUAAUCGCCUUAUACAUUUUUGUUAUCCAAGUCUAGUUCUCCUGUACCCUCUUAUUUUUCUCUUCUUUUGAUUACUGCUCAAACUCAGGAUCACUAGUUCUUUGGCAUAGAGCAUUAUCGUUGAGCUACACCCCAGGGGGCUAUUUCUCUUUUACUUUUACUGGUUGGUGAAAGGCUAUGCUUCUAGUUAUUAUUUAUUUUCACAAUCAGUUGAUGUGUUAAACUCCUAUUAUGAUCUAUUAACCACCUAUUAUUAUCUGAUGUGCAGAUAAACCAUGUUUUGACCAGCCUACUUCCUAUGCAGGUUGACUGAGUUAGAGAUGAUUAAAUUAAUUGAUGACAAUGAUUAUAAAUUUGAUAAUCUCACACAUAUACUGUUACAAAUACAGACACCAUUACAAUUUAUAUUAUUCUAGUCAUAGUUUAUUAUAUUCUCAUCCAAAAGGUUUCGGCCUGUAAUGACUUGGUGCCACUAAUAAAAUUCUCUUAACAGCAUAGGAAACUUGGGUGGCAGUCUAGAAUAUCUAUAUACGAUUUACUGGGAUGUCAUGUCAGGUUUCUGAAGGUAGACCUAACCAAAAA
Molecule: long non-coding RNA, 1906 nt
Organism: Vitis vinifera (wine grape)
Lineage: Eukaryota; Viridiplantae; Streptophyta; Magnoliopsida; Vitales; Vitaceae
Exons: 2
Source: RefSeq, a predicted model, not a curated record